RNAcentral lists this small RNA (283 nucleotides) under Mus spretus (western wild mouse). Its description in RNAcentral is "predicted gene, 24809 (ENSMSPG00010017848.1)". The record is from RNAcentral. Lineage: Eukaryota; Metazoa; Chordata; Mammalia; Rodentia; Muridae.
GUAGGGCGUGGUGGCGCACUCCUUUAAUCCCAGCACUCGGGAGGCAGAGGCAGGCGGAUUUCUGAGUUCGAGGUCAGCCUGGUCUACAAAGUGAGUUCCAGGACAGCCAGGGCUACACAGAGAAACCCUGUCUCGAAAAACAAAACAAAACAAAACAAAAAAACCCAAAUGAAUCUUUUUGUUUGUUCUUUUGGGACAGAGUUUCUCUGUGUAACUCUGACUGUCCUGGAACUCACUCUGUAGAGCAGGCUGGUCUCGAACUCACAGAGAUUCUCCUGCCUCU